GAAAAAGUCUAAUGGCUCCACCACACAAUAGGGAGUUAACGAUGCAAAAGACUACCAGAAUUAAAAGGCAAACAUCACCAUGCUAAUAUGAACACAGUUGGCACCCUAUCAUCUAAGUUUUCCAAUGGAGUCAUCCGAACACCAUCGACUUCAGUCGCUUUCAUCUUCAGCAUCUUGUCCUGACCCUUCACUUGAUUCCCCACCAUCAUUGACGCCAUCAUCAG
This 224-nucleotide unclassified non-coding RNA is filed under the name Hevea brasiliensis (rubber tree). The record is from RNAcentral. Lineage: Eukaryota; Viridiplantae; Streptophyta; Magnoliopsida; Malpighiales; Euphorbiaceae.